AUUGUUAGGUACGUUCUUUUUUUCAUAAUUAUCUAUAAUUUGCACUAGAACAAAAUUAUCGUUGAAAUUAAAUUCUUAUUGGUUGUACGUUGUAAUAUAGAAAUAUAAACGAUUUGAUUGGAACAAUUUUUUUGAAGGAAAUAGUCUAAUAAAUACACUUUGCGUAAAGUUUUCAAAUGUUAAAAUGUUACACAGAAAUUACACUUCGAUUAGCGUGUAAUAAACGCGUAAAAUCGCUAACCGGUAACCAAAAUCCACAAAGCAGAUACGGAAAAACCUAGCCUCAACAGAAAGUGAUGACUUGUGUGUAUUCCACCAGUGUCUCUUCUUUAUGUUCAUAAUACCUUUAGUAAUUUUAUAAUUGUCAACGUAUUUUUAAUAAAAUAAGCGCAGUUUUUACAUUUCCUGACUAAAACCACCAACUGGCUUUCGCGCAGUAAUGGUAACAGGCGACGUUAUAUUUGUAAUAGUAUUUAUUACUUUAAUAAUAUAUGCACUGCUUACUACAAUAAUUUCAAUCUGUAUCAUAGUACGUUUGGUAAAGACAAAUAGAAGAUACAAAAGACUGAAAAAUGAAAUUGACAAGGACCAAAAGAAUAUUCUUAAGAUGAUAUCUGACAUGGCAGCUACUAGAGAAAAAAACACUGAAUAUACCGAAAACAAAACUUUAAUAACACUUACAGAUGAAAUUCAAAAUAGAGAAGGUAACAUAUACGAAUACGCAUAUGGUGAAUCCUCUAGCUACGAAGAAAUAAGUGAAAAGUCUAGUUUAUUCUCGAACUUAAAAGACUACGUUUAUGGCUACGUACCAUUUGUAAAUAAAAAACCUUCCAGUACCGAUAAUAAUCAGAAAAACCUAAAUACCGUAUCAAGAAAGUCAUUGGGAUCCAGAGAUCACCUGAAAUUUUUUAGAAUAUUUAGCAGGACUGAUCCAGAAAAUGACAGGGAGCAAAGCUACUUAGAACCCAAAAAGUAUUACCCAGAAGAAAAUUGUCCGGUGGAACUAAAGUCUUUAGGUGAAACUCAGCGUGAUCAUAAGUGAAAAACUAUGUUGUAAAAAAUAAGUUAGAAUUAUAAUUUUACAGUUGUUAUGUUAACAUGUCUAAGUGACGUGUAGGUCAAACAUUUCAAUUAAUUUAAUGAAUAAUUAACACUCUUAAUUUGAAAAAAAAUGUCUAGAGUAUAGCGCCCCACACGGACGAAUCCGUACACGAUACUUUCAUUUUAAACUUUGUGACUAAACUUCCCAGUUUAAUCAAAUAUUUGGAACAUCUGUGUACAUAAUGAAUUAUAUUUUAAUAAUCUCCGUUGGAUAACUUAAAAAUACUAUGUAAUAUAAAAACAAAUGUAUGUUAUACUUUCAUUAAAUUAU
Molecule: long non-coding RNA, 1372 nt
Organism: Zophobas morio
Lineage: Eukaryota; Metazoa; Arthropoda; Insecta; Coleoptera; Tenebrionidae
Exons: 3
Source: RefSeq, a predicted model, not a curated record